RNAcentral lists this ribosomal RNA (505 nucleotides) under uncultured bacterium. RNAcentral describes it as "bacterial SSU rRNA". It matches the Rfam family "Bacterial small subunit ribosomal RNA", at positions 36 to 524 of the family's 1533-position model. The record is from RNAcentral.
CGACCUGGGGCUGUCUACCAUGCNAGUCGUACGGAGAGUGGGGCGACUCACUCUCAGUGGCAAACGGGCGAGUAACACGUGAAUAACCUGCCUUUGAGAAGGGGAUAACUGUCCGAAAGGAUAGCUAAUACCCUAUAUUGCCUUUUGUCACUAAGGCAAAAGGUGAAAGCGAGGCUGUCAAAGGCUUCGGCUCAAAGAGGGGUUCGCGUCCUAUCAGGUAGUUGGUGGGGUAAUGGCCUACCAAGCCAAUGACGGGUAGCUGGUCUUAGAGGAUAAUCAGCCACAGUGGGACUGAGACACGGCCCGCACCCCUACGGGGGGCAGCAGUGGGGAAUCGUGGGCAAUGGGCGCAAGCCUGACCCCGCAAUGCCGCGUGAGGGAAGAAGCCCUUCGGGGUGUAAACCUCUGUCAGAUGGGAAGAUGGGACUAGGGGCUAAUACCUCCUAGUCUUGACGGUACCAUCAGAGGAAGGGACGGCUAACUACGUGCCAGCAGCCGCGGUAAU